This 468-nucleotide ribosomal RNA is filed under the name uncultured bacterium. RNAcentral's name for it is "partial 16S ribosomal RNA". It matches the Rfam family "Bacterial small subunit ribosomal RNA", at positions 28 to 507 of the family's 1533-position model. The record is from RNAcentral.
GACGAACGCUGGCGGCGUGCUUAACACAUGCAAGUCGAACGGAAAGGCCCUGCUUUUGUGGGGUGCUCGAGUGGCGAACGGGUGAGUAACACGUGAGUAACCUGCCCUUGACUUUGGGAUAACUUCAGGAAACUGGGGCUAAUACCGGAUAGGAGCUCCUGCUGCAUGGUGGGGGUUGGAAAGUUUCGGCGGUUGGGGAUGGACUCGCGGCUUAUCAGCUUGUUGGUGGGGUAGUGGCUUACCAAGGCUUUGACGGGUAGCCGGCCUGAGAGGGUGACCGGCCACAUUGGGACUGAGAUACGGCCAAGACUCCUACGGGAGGCAGCAGUGGGGAAUAUUGCACAAUGGGCGGAAGCCUGAUGCAGCAACGCCGCGUGCGGGAUGACGGCCUACGGGUUGUAAACCGCUUUCGCCUGUGACGAAGCGUGAGUGACGGUAAUGGGUAAAGAAGCACCGGCUAACUACGUG